RNAcentral lists this ribosomal RNA (498 nucleotides) under uncultured bacterium. Its description in RNAcentral is "partial 16S ribosomal RNA". It matches the Rfam family "Bacterial small subunit ribosomal RNA", at positions 28 to 508 of the family's 1533-position model. The record is from RNAcentral.
GAUGAACGCUGGCGGCGUGCCUAAUACAUGCAAGUCGAGCGAACGGACGAGAAGCUUGCUUCUCUGAUGUUAGCGGCGGACGGGUGAGUAACACGUGGAUAACCUACCUAUAAGACUGGGAUAACUUCGGGAAACCGGAGCUAAUACCGGAUAAUAUUUUGAACCGCAUGGUUCAAAAGUGAAAGACGGUCUUGCUGUCACUUAUAGAUGGAUCCGCGCUGCAUUAGCUAGUUGGUAAGGUAACGGCUUACCAAGGCAACGAUGCAUAGCCGACCUGAGAGGGUGAUCGGCCACACUGGAACUGAGACACGGUCCAGACUCCUACGGGAGGCAGCAGUAGGGAAUCUUCCGCAAUGGGCGAAAGCCUGACGGAGCAACGCCGCGUGAGUGAUGAAGGUCUUCGGAUCGUAAAACUCUGUUAUUAGGGAAGAACAUAUGUGUAAGUAAAUGGGCACAUCUUGACGGUACCUAAUCAGAAAGCCACGGCUAACUACGUGC